GAACACAUCCACUUGGGACAUGAGUUCUUCGUCAUCUUCAUCUCGCGACGAUGAACUCAUACUUGCAGCAUUCGCCGAGCGCGAGGAGGAAGAGAGAAAAAACACUCGACGCCGUGGCGGUUCCAAGCAUGGACGUCAGUCAAUCGAUCGAGGAAGAGAUGCCAGAUUUAUUCUUCUGUGGAACGACUACUUCAAAGAAGUUCCUCGCUUUCCCGAACAUUUGUUUCGACGAAGAUUUAGGAUGUCGCGUACUUUGUUCAACCGCAUAGCUGAUGGUA
Molecule: long non-coding RNA, 278 nt
Organism: Hordeum vulgare subsp. vulgare (domesticated barley)
Lineage: Eukaryota; Viridiplantae; Streptophyta; Magnoliopsida; Poales; Poaceae
Exons: 2
Source: RefSeq, a predicted model, not a curated record